RNAcentral lists this ribosomal RNA (486 nucleotides) under uncultured bacterium. Its description in RNAcentral is "partial 16S ribosomal RNA". It matches the Rfam family "Bacterial small subunit ribosomal RNA", at positions 28 to 507 of the family's 1533-position model. The record is from RNAcentral.
GAUGAACGCUAGCGGCAGGCUUAAUACAUGCAAGUCGAGGGGCAGCAUGAAGUAGCAAUACUUUGAUGGCGACCGGCAAACGGGUGCGGAACACGUACACAACCUUCCUUUAAGUGGGGAAUAGCCCAGAGAAAUUUGGAUUAAUCCCCCGUAACACAACGAAGUGGCAUCACUUUGUUGUUAUAGUUUCGGCGCUUAAUGAUGGGUGUGCGUAUGAUUAGAUAGUUGGCGAGGUAACGGCUCACCAAGUCUACGAUCAUUAGCUGAUGUGAGAGCAUGAUCAGCCACACGGGCACUGGGACACGGGCCCGACUCCUACGGGAGGCAGCAGUAAGGAAUAUUGGACAAUGGAAUCAAGUCUGAACCAGCCAUGCCGCGUGAAGGAUUAAGGUCCUCUGGAUUGUAAACUUCUUUUAUAUGAGACGAAAAAAGGUCUUUCUAGACCCCUUGACGGUACCAUAUGAAUAAGCACCGGCUAACUCCGUG